CCUACGGGAGGCAGCAGUAGGGAAUUUUCGGCAAUGGGGGGAACCCUGACCGAGCAACGCCGCGUGAACGAAGAAGUUAUUCGUAAUGUAAAGUUCUUUUAACAGGGAAGAAAGAUAAAUCUGACGGUACCUGCCGAAUAAGCUCCGGCUAACUACGUGCCAUCAGCCGCGGUAAUACGUAGGGAGCGAGCGGUAUCCGGAAUUAUUGGGCGUAAAGGGUGGGUAGAUGGCAUAGUAAGUCUUUUGUAAAAAUGCUGGGCUCAACCCAGUAGGGCAAAAGAUACUGCAAGGCUAGAGUAUGACAGAGGCAAGUGGAACUAGAAGUGUAGCGGUAAAAUGCGUAAAUAUAGGUAAGAACACCAGUGGCGAAGGCGGCUUGCUGGGUGGAAACUGACGUUGAGGCACGAAAGCGUGGGGAGCGAACAGGAUUAGAUACCCGAGUAGUC
Molecule: ribosomal RNA, 446 nt
Filed under: uncultured bacterium
Lineage: Bacteria
Description: partial 16S ribosomal RNA
Rfam family: Bacterial small subunit ribosomal RNA
Source: RNAcentral